CCUCCUUAUUAAUAACGCCACCCGCCCCCGCCGCUCACGAUGGCGCCAGGCAUAGAGGGGGAUGGGACCAGGCGGUGGCUGACCCUCAGACAGUGCUGGUUCUUUACGAAUCAGUCUGCAGACUCCAGGGCUACCCCUUCGAACCCCACUUACUGACCAAGCAAGAGCAGGAGAGCGUGCCUAACUCGAGGUCCCCAGGUGGGCAGCGUGGAGCCCCACAGACUUCCAACCAGCGAUGGACUGGGCAAGGGACCCACGUUCAGAAUCACCUAGCAUCAGGUCCGCCAACAGGCCAGAAUCCACUCGCCCCUCGCUUCGUCCCCCUAAUUCCUCGUCCCCAUUACCCCCCUUCACCGCCUCCGUUUUGCCUCCGGAUCGCAAAAGUGACCCGAGCUUUAACCAGUGGAGAGAGAUCAGGGAACAAUUCACUGUCCCUAUUCUCAUCCAUGUGGUAUUUUCUGGGAAAAUUAGUGGCUUCUAGCUGGAAGAGGAA
Molecule: long non-coding RNA, 493 nt
Filed under: Homo sapiens (human)
Lineage: Eukaryota; Metazoa; Chordata; Mammalia; Primates; Hominidae
Description: HSALNT0163385
Source: RNAcentral